RNAcentral lists this RNase P RNA (337 nucleotides) under Gammaproteobacteria bacterium. RNAcentral's name for it is "RNase P RNA component class A". It matches the Rfam family "Bacterial RNase P class A". From Rfam's summary of the family: Ribonuclease P (RNase P) is a ubiquitous endoribonuclease, found in archaea, bacteria and eukarya as well as chloroplasts and mitochondria. Its best characterised activity is the generation of mature 5'-ends of tRNAs by cleaving the 5'-leader elements of precursor-tRNAs. Cellular RNase Ps are ribonucleoproteins. The record is from RNAcentral. RNAcentral also lists the same sequence under 3 other names. Lineage: Bacteria; Pseudomonadati; Pseudomonadota; Gammaproteobacteria.
AGAGUUGACUAGACAAUCGCUGCCCUUAUGGGGGGAGGAAAGUCCGGGCUCCAUAGGAUAAGGUGCCAGGUAACGCCUGGGAGGCGCGAGCCUACGGAAAGUGCAACAGAAAAUAUACCGCCUUUAUGAAGGUAAGGGUGAAAUGGUGUGGUAAGAGCGCACCGCGUUUGUGGUAACACAAAUGGCAGUGUAAACCCCACCUGGAGCAAGACCAAAUAGGAAUCUGUAUACUGUUGUCCGCGGUUAGAUUCGGGUAGGUCGCUUAAGAUUCAUGGUGACAUGAAUCGUAGAUGAAUGAUUGUCCACGACAGAACCCGGCUUAUAGUCAACUCUAAUU